GGCGGUGGCUGAGCGGGGGGGCUGCGGGCGAUGUGCCCCCGAUGUGCCCGCACUGUGACCGCGAUGUGCCCCCAUUGUGCCUCGCAGGAAGCUGAAGAACCGCGUGGCGGCUCAGAGCGCCCGGGACAGGAAGAAGGCGCGGAUGACGGAGCUGGAGCAGCAGGUGGUGGAGCUGGAGGAGGAGGUGAGCGCCGGGGCGGGGGUGCGGGGCGGCUGCGGGACGCGAUCUGACCGCGCGCCGAUAUCCGCAGAACCAACGGCUCCUGAGGGAGAACCAACGGCUGCGGGAACAGACGGGCAGCCUCUCCUUGGAGAACCAGGAGCUCCGCUGCCGCCUGGGCUUGGACGCUUUGAAGACAGAACCGGAGGACGAGUCGACGGUUGUGAAGGAAUCCCAGGUGGAUGACAUCGGGUUGGUGACCGGGUCCGCUGAGUCCGCAGCACUCAGACUACGUGUUCCUCUGCAGCAGGUGCAGGCCCAGCUGUCACCAUUUCUGACAACCUCCACAUGGAUUCUGAUGGCAGUGACUCUUCAGAUUCUGAGUCUGAUCUCCUGUUCGGAUUACUGGACAUUCUGGACCCAGAAAUGUUUCUCAAAUGUGCUGAUUCAGAAUCAUCCAGCCUGGAAAAGCUGGAGGAAGAGAUGUGUGGAGAAACAAAUUCCAUACCGACCUCCCCCUCUCCCUCUCUGGGGUCCCCAUCAGCUAAGCUGGAGGCCAUUAAUGAACUCAUAAGCUGGAGAUGCUUCAAGGCAUGGCUUAUCAAGGCUUACUGUCAGUGUUCUGAUACAGGCUGGUGGUAUUUACUAGGCUCGCUCCCCAGAAAGCACACACUUCAUGUUAGGUACGUUGAAGCUUCACAGAACUCAGGAUUUUUGCUAGCACUAACAUCUACUAGACUUGAGACUAGUGACUUGUACCUGGUUACCACACUGUUCUUAUGUUGUUCAUACGAUUAA
RNAcentral lists this long non-coding RNA (958 nucleotides) under Chrysolophus pictus (golden pheasant). RNAcentral's name for it is "lncRNA (ENSCPIG00010008828.1)". The stretch from base 415 to 491 matches the Rfam family "bZIP non canonical Hac1/Xbp1 intron". Lineage: Eukaryota; Metazoa; Chordata; Aves; Galliformes; Phasianidae. The record is from RNAcentral.